RNAcentral lists this ribosomal RNA (774 nucleotides) under uncultured Neocallimastigales. RNAcentral's name for it is "partial large subunit ribosomal RNA". It matches the Rfam family "Eukaryotic large subunit ribosomal RNA", at positions 22 to 640 of the family's 3401-position model. Lineage: Eukaryota; Fungi; Neocallimastigomycota; Neocallimastigomycetes; Neocallimastigales. The record is from RNAcentral.
GUACACGCUGUGACUAGCAUAUCAAUAAGCGGAGGAAAAGAAACUAACAAGGAUUCCCCUAGUAACGGCGAGUGAAGCGGGGAGAGCUCAAAUUUGAAAUCUUAAAGGGUUUCCCUUUACGAAUUGUAGUUUAAAGAAGUGUUUUCUGUUGAGGUCUUGGUAAAAGUUCUUUGGAAUAGGACAUCAUAGAGGGUGAGAAUCCCGUAUUUGACCUUUACUUUCAACUUUGUGAUACACUUUCAAAGAGUCGGAUUGUUUGGGAAUGCAGUCCAAAAUGGGUAGGUAAAUUUCAUCUAAAGCUAAAUAUUGGCGAGAGACCGAUAGCGAACAAGUACCGUGAGGGAAAGAUGAAAAGAACUUUGAAAAGAGAGUUAAACAGUACGUGAAAUUGUCAAAAGGGAAGCGUUUGACACCAGUGUUGUUUUUCUGAAAAUCAAUUAAAGGACUGUUUAUGCUAAGUUGUUUAGACUUUAUCAGCUAUCUGUUUAGUUUUGAGCUUUUCUUUAAUGCACUUUUCAGUUAACAAGUCAACAUCAAUUUCUUUUGCUGUAAAAAAGCUUGAGGAUGGUGGCUUGAGAUUCGUCUUAAGUGUUUAUAGCCUCUUGCCUAUGCAGUCGGAGAGAUUGAGGUCUGCAGCGUAGAUCCUUCGGGGCUAAAUGCAUUUGUGCUAAGUUAUAGCAUUUUAUAGACAACUUGUUGACUAUGAUUUGUCUUGUAGCUUACUCGCUUAUGUUAUUUUACCUACGCUUAGGAUGUUGACGCGCGUGUGUGCGU